Molecule: ribosomal RNA, 301 nt
Filed under: uncultured bacterium
Lineage: Bacteria
Description: partial 16S ribosomal RNA
Rfam family: Bacterial small subunit ribosomal RNA
Source: RNAcentral
CAGCCGCCGCGGUAAUACGUAGGUGGCAAGCGUUGUCCGGAAUUAUUGGGCGUAAAGGGCUCGCAGGCGGUUCCUUGAGUCUGAUGUGAAAGCCCCCGGCUCAACCGGGGAGGGUCAUUGGAAACUGGGAAACUUGAGUGCAGAAGAGGAGAGUGGAAUUCCACGUGUAGCGGUGAAAUGCGUAGAGAUGUGGAGGAACACCAGUGGCGAAGGCGACUCUCUGGUCUGUAACUGACGCUGAGGAGCGAAAGCGUGGGGAGCGAACAGGAUUAGAUACCCCGGUAGUCCCUGUCUCUUAUAC